Molecule: ribosomal RNA, 220 nt
Filed under: uncultured bacterium
Lineage: Bacteria
Description: partial 16S ribosomal RNA
Rfam family: Bacterial small subunit ribosomal RNA
Source: RNAcentral
UAAUGCUUGGGAAUCUAGCUUAUGGGAGGGGGUAACUACGGGAAACUGUAGCUAAUACCGCGUAGAAUCGAGAGAUGAAAGUGUGGGACCUUCGGGCCACAUGCCAUAGGAUGAGCCCAAGUGGGAUUAGGUAGUUGGUGAGGUAAAGGCUCACCAAGCCGACGAUCUCUAGCUGGUCUGAGAGGAUGACCAGCCACACUGGGACUGAGACACGGCCCAG